AGUGAACGCUGGCGGUAGGCCUAACACAUGCAAGUCGAACGGUAGAACAGUAAGAGCUUGCUCUUACGGGUGGCAAGUGACGGACGGGUGAGGCAUACAUCGGAAGCUACUUUUCCGUGGGGGAUAUCUGAGGGCAACUUACGCUAAUACCUCAUACGAUCUACGAGUGAAAGCAGGUUUUCUUCAUACCAUUCCAUAACGCAUGGGCGAACGUCGGUUUAGCUAGUUGGGUGGUUAAAGGCCCACCAAGGCAACCGUCGGUAGCUGGUCUGCGAGGAUGACCGGCCACACGGGAACUGAAACCCGGUCCAGACCCCUACGGGAGGCAGCAGAGGGGAAUAUUGGACAAUGGGCGAAAGCCGGAUCCGGCACUACCGCGUGGUUGAAGAAGUCCUUCGGGUUGUAAAGUCCGUUUGUUGGGAAAGAAAAGCAGGAGGUUAAUACCUCGAUGUUCUGACGGUACCCAACGAAUAAGCAACGGCUAACUUCGUG
RNAcentral lists this ribosomal RNA (492 nucleotides) under uncultured bacterium. RNAcentral describes it as "partial 16S ribosomal RNA". It matches the Rfam family "Bacterial small subunit ribosomal RNA", at positions 29 to 507 of the family's 1533-position model. The record is from RNAcentral.